GAUGAACGCUGGCGGCGUGCUUAACACAUGCAAGUCGAACGAAGCACUUUAUUUGAUUUCCUUCGGGACUGAUUAUUUUGUGACUGAGUGGCGGACGGGUGAGUAACGCGUGGGUAACCUGCCUUGUACAGGGGGAUAACAGUUGGAAACGGCUGCUAAUACCGCAUAAGCGCACAGCAUCGCAUGAUGCAGUGUGAAAAACUCCGGUGGUAUAAGAUGGACCCGCGUUGGAUUAGCUAGUUGGUGAGGUAACGGCCCACCAAGGCGACGAUCCAUAGCCGACCUGAGAGGGUGACCGGCCACAUUGGGACUGAGCCACGGCCCAGACUCCUACGGGAGGCAGCAGUGGGGAAUAUUGCACAAUGGGCGAAAGCCUGAUGCAGCGACGCCGCGUGAGCGAAGAAGUAUUUCGGUAUGUAAAGCUCUAUCAGCAGGGAAGAUAAUGACGGUACCUGACUAAGAAGCACCGGCUAACUACGUG
RNAcentral lists this ribosomal RNA (481 nucleotides) under uncultured bacterium. RNAcentral's name for it is "partial 16S ribosomal RNA". It matches the Rfam family "Bacterial small subunit ribosomal RNA", at positions 28 to 507 of the family's 1533-position model. The record is from RNAcentral.